Molecule: ribosomal RNA, 484 nt
Filed under: uncultured bacterium
Lineage: Bacteria
Description: partial 16S ribosomal RNA
Rfam family: Bacterial small subunit ribosomal RNA
Source: RNAcentral
GAUGAACGCUGGCGGCGUGCUUAACACAUGCAAGUCGAACGGGAUCCAUCAGGCUUUGCUUGGUGGUGAGAGUGGCGAACGGGUGAGUAAUGCGUGACCGACCUGCCCCAUACACCGGAAUAGCUCCUGGAAACGGGUGGUAAUGCCGGAUGCUCCAGUUGAUCGCAUGGUCUUCUGGGAAAGCUUUCGCGGUAUGGGAUGGGGUCGCGUCCUAUCAGCUUGACGGCGGGGUAACGGCCCACCGUGGCUUCGACGGGUAGCCGGCCUGAGAGGGCGACCGGCCACAGUGGGACUGAGAUACGGCCCAGACUCCUACGGGAGGCAGCAGUGGGGAAUAUUGCACAAUGGGCGCAAGCCUGAUGCAGCGACGCCGCGUGGGGGAUGGAGGCCUUCGGGUUGUAAACCUCUUUUAUCGGGGAGCAAGCGAGAGUGAGUUUACCCGUUAAAUAAGCACCGGCUAACUACGUGCCAGCAGCCGCCGUAA